This 460-nucleotide ribosomal RNA is filed under the name uncultured bacterium. RNAcentral describes it as "partial 16S ribosomal RNA". It matches the Rfam family "Bacterial small subunit ribosomal RNA", at positions 338 to 795 of the family's 1533-position model. The record is from RNAcentral.
CCUACGGGCGGCAGCAGUGAGGAAUAUUGGUCAAUGGACGAGAGUCUGAACCAGCCAAGUAGCGUGAAGGAUGACUGCCCUAUGGGUUGUAAACUUCUUUUAUAUGGGAAUAAAAUGUUCCACGUGUGGGUUUUUGUAUGUACCAUAUGAAUAAGGAUCGGCUAACUCCGUGCCAGCAGCCGCGGUAAUACGGAGGAUCCGAGCGUUAUCCGGAUUUAUUGGGUUUAAAGGGAGCGUAGGUGGAUUGUUAAGUCAGUUGUGAAAGUUUGCGGCUCAACCGUAAAAUUGCAGUUGAAACUGGCAGUCUUGAGUACAGUAGAGGUGGGCGGAAGUCGUGGUGUAGCGGUGAAAUGCUUAGAUAUCACGAAGAACUCCGAUUGCGAAGGCAGCUCACUGGACUGCAACUGACACUGAGGCUCGAAAGUGUGGGUAUCAAACAGGAUGAGAUACCCCUGCAGUC